UCUAAAGGCUCAAGAUAUCACAAAAAUUAUGGCUUUUUGAUAUUAAUCCUAUAACUUUCAACUUCAAGAUAAUACCUAAACUUGGGGAAAUAACCUAAAGAUUUUUAAUUCUCAGAAAUCAACUUGUCAUGCUUGAUUCUCUAAUGCCUUACAGUUUAAACAAUCAAUGCAUAAAUGCCUAUGUUUUAAUUCAAGACAUAUCAAUAAAAAUCAUAAAUUAAUCAAAAUUCAUUCUAAUAGUGAUAUGAGUGAGUCACGUGAGAAUAAGACAAAAUUUAGGGAUUUUUCUGAUAAUGAUAUAAAUAACCCCCCACACUUAAGAUGUACAUUGUCCUCAAUGUACAAAGAUAGAUUUAGUGAAAAAUAUAGAUAUAAGAUCAUAAGAUAGGGAGAGAAGUGAAACUUCCUGAAUUUUAAAUGGAAUCCUUGAAUUGGAGUCAUAGAAAGUAAUUGGCUAAGACAAGGGUGAGAUUGGAGGAGGAUACUCCGGUAGUGGUAAAGGUUGUUAGUCCACAAGUCCAGCGCCAAAAGAAUAUUAUAACAGGUGGCAGCUAUAGACGUGGUCGAGCAGAGCAUGGCAGUUGUGGAGGACCUUUUCCAGUGGAGUUGCAAAUUCCUAAGUAAUAGUGAGCUUUGGAACUCUUCAUAACUGCGAUAGAAUUAUUAACUCUUUAGGAAAUAUAAAGUAGCAUGAUUACUCGUAAAGAAAUGGCCGAAAACAUAAAUUAUAUAAUAUAAAUUGUAAAACCUAAAGAUGAAAUAAAAAUAGUAUUAAAGAGAAAUAAAAUGAAAAGUAAUUUAAAAAGAUAAAUAAAGAUAAAAGUAAAAAUAAUAAAUAAUAAAUAAAAGUCUUCAAAAAUCCUCAUUGCUAGAUGGUUCGCGAGGUGGGGCUGGCGAUGAGAUGUGAAUGUGCUGACAAAUCUGAUGUAAGGUUGUAUCAAUGUAAUCGAAGCGCUGAAAACAUUACUGCUUGAAUCGAGUGAGAUGCUCAGAGAUGUCAGAGAGUGAAGCAGCCACAUGAAUUGGAUGAUGAACAGGUGGUGGCUAAGAUGGUGGAUCCUCGUGAGGUGGAGGGACAUCAUCAGUAAUGUCCUCUGGUCUUCCUACUCGGCUAACUGGAUGAGGCGGUACUGAGGAGGAUCAAAUCCACGUCGUCGCUCGAUCAUCCUCAUAUGAAGCAUACUCGAGAUGCCCUGUGAGGACAUUUAAACGAUGAGGGUGAGAGAGGAUGUUUGCGCCACCGUGUUGAGAAGACCGAAGUACCGUGCCAGGCGAGUCACAUAAGGGCCGAUGGAAAGGACUCCCUUCCUCUGCCGCUCUGUCUGAUGGCGAAUGGCGCGGGCAAUGAAAUAAGUGAGGUCGAAUACGUGCCCAUGCAUCAUGUUCCAUAAAAAAUAGGCGUCAUUAGUGUUGAUGACGCCGCUACUUUCUCACCGUCCUAUCAGGGUGUGGGCUAGGAUGGCGUGUAAGUAUCUCAGUGAUUGGGCGAGAGCCGAUGCCUUGGAGCGACUACGGUCAUAAGUGGCCGAAGUAGGGACUAUGGCCUUCCAGCAAUUUGAAAGAGAAUAAUGGAUGUGGCGAUGGAGACUGUCGAAGUCUUCACCGUCCAUGAACUCCUCCAUAUAUAGUCUUAAUGAGACACCGAACUUAGGCAUGCUCAACUGGCAAACUAAAUCGUCAAGACAGAACUGGACCAUUCCGGGAACAUCGAACUCUGUCGUAACGAUUUGAAAGUGAAAGGUCGAACAGAGUUCUAGUGUGAGCUCGAGGUAUGUCAGCUCGACGAUCUCGAAGAAGAGCCUCCAUAGGUCAGUAGCCAGGAGAGCCCGAACGGCGUCAACAAGUUGAAUCUGCUCUAGAGCGAUCCAAUUAAUACAUCGUCCUGCACUGAUGGAUCUCGCAUGGAGUAUCAGAAAAAGUUCUCCUGGGGUCCCAAGGGAAACUGUAGGAAGGGAUGGCUCACUUCGGUAGAUGCGCUUGCUGAUAUGGCUCCGGGUCCCUUCUGCUUUUUUUGAAGCGGGGACUGUUAUUUUCUUACCAUGUGGAUUUGACAUGGUAUACUUAGAAGAAGAACGAGUAUUAUGUCUUAAUGAACAGAGAAGAUAACAUAUGCUAACAAAUUCAAAAAGGAAUUAACCAUGAAUAUAAUUAAACUAACAAAUUCAACCAAAAACUAGUGACACUAACAAGACUCAACCAAAAGCAAUCGAACUUGACGAUAGAAAUUUUAUGGCAAAUGGCUUAGUAAUAGCAUGACUAAAUUCAACACGAAAUAGAUAAAAGUAGCUAAUAAUGGUAAGAAAAUGGUACAAAAUAUGUGAAAUAGAUCCUAAGAAUGAGGAUGAUAUGGUAAGCAAUUAAUAGAAAAAUGUACGUAAUAGGGUAAAAUUAAGAUCAUCAUGAUAGUAAGCAUAAAAAAAAACUAAAAGAGAAGAGAAGACCGUUACUGGAGGAUCGGUGGUUGGAGGAGAGACGGCGCGAUGGUGGGGGUUUGUAGUGUAGAGAAAGAGAGAAAAAUAAAGGAAUGUGUAGGGAAGGAAGGAUAAGAGAGAAGAUUUGGAUGCGUUAUGGAAGGAAAUGGAGGAGAAAGAUGGAUUUUGGGUGCUGGUCGGGGCUUAAGAGGCGACGAUAGUGGUGGGAGCGGCGGCUAGGGUUAGGGUAUUGGGGAAGGGGAUGAUGAAUAGUGUGGGUUUAUAUAGAUAUUGGGGCACACAGUUGUGCUUCAGCCUGUGCAUUUCGUGGUUUUCAAAUUUGGGCACCUCUAAAAUUCGGCCCACGCCUGUGUUUUUUGGGCGUGUUGGUGCACUCGGUCAUGUUACACGGUCGUGUCCUGCUUCGUUCGCUUCUCCUACGCCUGUGUAUAUAUACGCACACCCUUGUUAUCUUGACAGUUUUGACCACAGGUGGUAGGCAUGGGCGUGUCGCACGCCCGUGUUAAUUUCUCAAUUUCUACCACGGCUUAUAGACACAGGCGUGUUGCAUGCCCGUGUUGAUUUGGCAGGAUUGCCCACGGCCAUGUGACAUGGUCGUGGCACUGUAUCGAAUCUCAUGUUUUAGGAAAGGUUUUGCUCUGUUUUCACCAUGAGUUGAAGAACAAUUUUUAGAGUCACAAGCAUUAUGUCCACGAUGACAAUAACUUAGGGCUUUAAGACAAAUUGGCUUUAAAUUAUUAUUAUUAUUAUUAUUAUUUUCUCAUUUUGGCAUUGAUAUUUUUUUCUUUACACUUUAGUAUCUGAAUUAUUAUUUUUAUCCCAAUUUACUUUGGAAUAAAAAUGCACCAACAAGAACAUGACACGCAACAUAUUCUUAUUGGACACGGAUAAAAUUUGAGGUAAACUGAGACGAAAAUAAUAGUAAUGAAAUAAAAAAAAAUUAAGCACUAAAGUAGGAAAACAAGUAUAGUUCAAAGUAUAAUUUAAGCCUAAUUUCAGAAACAAGCCUGGUAUAAGACCAAAACAUUUUACCAUUUUUAUGCAGCUAACUGCUGAAAAUAUUUUUAUACAUAAUAAGACCAAACAAAAAUAUCUAAUGCACAACAAAAAGGACUUAAUCUAACUAAUAAUGCAUUAGUACAAUGGCUUUUGCAGCAAAUAUAAAACCACAAAAGGGAAAAGUGUCUCAGGUUUAUGAUUUACCCCAAAAAGGAAAAAAAAUUGAAGGCAUUAUUACCACAAAACUCCAUUGAAUUCCACUAUAUAAUUUCAAGAGGAGUGUCUUAUAAUCUGAUUCAGUACAAUAUAUACAUAUUAGUAUUACAACCAAGUCAGUGCAGUUAAAUUGACAUUUUUUUAUAUAAGAAAACGAAAAACUAAAAAAAUCAUUUAAAUAUGAAAGGGAUUUUAAGCAAUUUAACCGCAUAGCGAACUAUAAGCAGUAACAGAAGAUUCAUUCUAAAUCAGCUGGCCAUGAUGUUAACAAUAAGCAGUAGACAACCAAAAACCAGGAAAAAAUAGCCAAAGCUUUUCGACAAAAUACUUUUUGAACCAAACUAAGAAGAUGCACUUUGAUGGUUUUGCCAUUUGAAAAUAUGAUUUUGAAAAAGAAAAAUGCAAAAAAACCUCAUUUGUCUCGUCUUUCUUCUAACAUCAUGUUUUUAAAAUUGACAUUUUAACUUCUCAUAGCAGUAGUUAACAGCAAUGCUAAAAGAUUAAAAUUCCCUAACCAUAAUUUUUCAAAGCAACAUUUUCCAAAUGCACUUUUCUUUCAGACCAAACUUUUUAUAACUGCAGCCAUAAUGCUAAACUAAGCAACAAUAAAGGUUGGACUAAAAUGAUAGAUAUAUUAUGCAAUAUUUGAUUUUGCAAUGACAAAAGUCAAAACUUAAAAAAUCAACUAGAAUGUUUACAGGUUUAAUUUAAUUCACUUACUAAUUACUUUUUUUUCUUAUUUUAAUAAAACAAUACUUUCAAAUUCACGAACAAGUCGUUAGACCUGCUUAUUUGUAGCUGAAGAACAACCAUGAGAAGCAAAAUAUUCUUUUGGAAGCCUAUCAAGCUUGAACCUUUCAAAAAAAAGAACAAAAACCAACAGUUUCCUUUAUUUUCUUUCACUUUUUCAGCAACCAAAUAAAAAAACUACUAUUUUAAAUCAAAAACCAAGAGAAAAGACAAUUAUAAAACAGAUCACAAGCAUUCAUAACUGAAACAAGCACAUUCAUCCACAAAAAUAUCCAGUAAUUAAAAUCUAGGUUACUUACUUCACUACUCCCUCUCUCUAAAUUUCCUCAAAAACUUUGAUCUAGGUUUCUUGACGACCAUUUCAAGAUCCUUUGAGUCCUCUCUAACCAACCACACUAACUACUCAUAAUUGACGCGGCUCAGCUAUGGCCUCUCAAACCCACAUAUCUCUCGAUUUCAAAAUUGGUGUUAUUGGUUGGGGCUUCCAAGUAUCAAACCAAACCCCUAGAAUUUUAUUUUUAUCAUUUUUUUAUCAACAACGAAAAGAACAAAGAUUAGAGAUUUUUGAAACCGAUCAGUUUCAAUUUCAAGCUUGUUUUCGGUAUUUCUCUUUUCUAAAAAUUUGAGUUUGGAAAUCCCUAAAUCAUUCAGGUUUCUUCCCUAGCUAAAGAAACAAAGGAAAGCAUAAAAUUUCAGGCAUAAAAUCUGUGGAGAAGUAAGGAACAAGAAGAAAAAAAAAUAGCUUUAUGCCAUACCUUAAGUCAAGACCCAAAGAAGAGGAAUGGUAUAAUCCUGAAAAAGAGAGAAACAGAGGAAAUGAAACAGUAGCCUGAGAAAAUGAUAUAUGCUAUGGACUAGAAAAUGAAGAAUAGAAGAAGUAAAAGAAAUGAAUAAAGGAAGAAGGAGAGACUUUU
This 5311-nucleotide long non-coding RNA is filed under the name Gossypium barbadense (sea-island cotton). Its description in RNAcentral is "long non-coding RNA (GBAR_LNC002022)". The record is from RNAcentral. Lineage: Eukaryota; Viridiplantae; Streptophyta; Magnoliopsida; Malvales; Malvaceae.